RNAcentral lists this microRNA (21 nucleotides) under Caenorhabditis elegans. RNAcentral describes it as "cel-miR-66-3p". Its record names the gene cel-miR-66-3p. The record is from miRBase by way of RNAcentral. Lineage: Eukaryota; Metazoa; Nematoda; Chromadorea; Rhabditida; Rhabditidae.
AAAUUCCUAACGGUGUCAAAC